Molecule: long non-coding RNA, 713 nt
Organism: Pecten maximus
Lineage: Eukaryota; Metazoa; Mollusca; Bivalvia; Pectinida; Pectinidae
Exons: 3
Source: RefSeq, a predicted model, not a curated record
AUAUUACCAAAAUUUUAUUAUUCUAUCCAAACCAAUCGUUUUCCAGAUCCCCCGCACUAUAAAAGAGACUACAACCCUAUUCUCCUCACAAUCGCUUGACCAUCUCAAGAGAUUUUAUUUUUUGAAAAUAAUGAUGGCAUCGAGACAUUUCUUCGGAAAUGGACAAUAUGUCCAGUUGUCAGUAUAUAGGGGUGUAACCUAUGUCCAUAUAAAUGGACGCAAUAACAGGUGCACCACCGUGAGUGUGGACGAAUUCAUGGACAUGGUGCAGAACUAUGCACUAAUGGCAGAUAUCCAGUCCCAUAUAAAAAAGGUACGUAUGAAAGUUACUUUAUGAAAUUCAUUUUUUCAUUAACUCACAAAUUGAAGAAUAUAAAAUAAUGUCAUCUUUAAAACAAAUAACUAGUCAAAGCAAUUAACAUGAUGUUUUGGAUUGUAUAUCCUGAUACUAUAAAUGAUUAAAUUAUUUCCAUGUUUAGGAGUCUUCCAAACGAAUUGAUACUACACCGCCACAGACACCGGUCCCAUUGGGACCACAACUGGUGACCCCACCAGUAACAAAGAAAAGGAAGAGGGAUGAAGAGCCAUCCGAAGACCUGCAGAGAAAGAGGGUGAGGUUGGAAUCGCCUGAAAGAAUCGACGUUGUAAGUAUAGCUAUUUUGUACGAUUUUUACAGUUUCCUCCACAACUUUUAAGACAUUUUCCCUAUUAAA